CUCGGGACCGGCGGCGGAAGGUCGCCCAAACCGGAAGGAGGGCCGCCCGGGACGGCCGCCUACAGACCUAUCACACCUACCUCCAGACAUUCAAGACAUACUAACGGAGAAGGCAGAGGAUUUCCCAGCUCCUCCAAAUCAAAUACGACAAGUCCUGGGAGUGUGGCUGAGUUUCCAGCUGUUCCUGGCGGGAAGGCCUCUGCUUCUGACUCCUGCCUCUUCAAGGACCAGCCACCUUCCUGUCCCCUCCCUGACCAUUGGCCCACCUCCCCUCAAAACACACAGCAGUUUCAUUCCAGCGCAUCACCUUUUUAGCUCCUCCAUGGGUGUUUCUGGUGUGGGAGGCCCCAGCAAGCAUGCCAGCUGUGUCCCCAGCUGGAUGCAUCAGGCACAGAGAAGAGAUCAUAUCCCAUGAACCCACAAGGACCCUGGGAAGCCACACCGAAUGUCAACCAGACACACUCUCCUGGAGCAACUACCUUAAUAAUGUGCAUUUAAAGAAAACUCACAUUAAAACAAACACAGAGACAUAAAGCCCUCGAAUAUAAAGUGUGUGUGUGUGAAGUUGCACAACACGACACAAGGUCUCAUUCAACAGAUGCUUAUGGGGCUCCUGCAAAAGUCCAAGCACCCUUCUAGGCUCUUUGCAGCUAAAACUCUC
This 661-nucleotide long non-coding RNA is filed under the name Capra hircus (goat). RNAcentral's name for it is "lncRNA (ENSCHIG00000004952.1)". Lineage: Eukaryota; Metazoa; Chordata; Mammalia; Artiodactyla; Bovidae. The record is from RNAcentral.